Molecule: non-coding RNA, 73 nt
Organism: Gasterosteus aculeatus aculeatus (three-spined stickleback)
Lineage: Eukaryota; Metazoa; Chordata; Actinopteri; Perciformes; Gasterosteidae
Source: the annotation of a RefSeq genome assembly
GUCAGGAUGGCCGAGUGGUCUAAGGCGCCAGACUUAAGAUUUGGAGUUGUGGGUUCGAACCCCACUUCUGGCA